RNAcentral lists this ribosomal RNA (840 nucleotides) under uncultured bacterium. Its description in RNAcentral is "bacterial SSU rRNA". It matches the Rfam family "Bacterial small subunit ribosomal RNA", at positions 85 to 916 of the family's 1533-position model. The record is from RNAcentral.
UCUAAUGAAAGCGGCGGACUGGUGAGAAACGCGUGGGUGACCUGCCUUUAGGAUGGGGAUAGCCGUUAGAAACAGCGGGUAAUACCGAAUACGCUUGUGUAACUGAGGUUACAUGAGGAAAGGGGCUUUGGCCCCGCCCCGGGACGGGCCCGCGUCCCAUUAGCUGGUUGGAGGGGUAACGGCCCGCCAAGGCGAAGAUGGGUAGCCGGCCUGAGAGGGCGAACGGCCACACUGGGACUGAGAUACGGCCCAGACUCCUACGGGAGGCAGCAGCUAAGAAUAUUCCGCAAUGGGCGAAAGCCUGACGGAGCGACGCCGCGUGGAUGACGAAGGCCGAAAGGUUGUAAAAUUCUUUUGCGGGCGAAGAAGAAGGCGCGGAGGGAAUGCCGCGCCGGUGACGCCGGCCCGCGAAUAAGCCCCGGCUAAUUACGUGCCAGCAGCCGCGGUAACACGUAAGGGGCGAGCGUUGUUCGGAAUUAUUGGGCGUAAAGGGCGCGUAGGCGGCCGCGCAAGUCUGAUGUGAAAACCCCGGGCUCAACCCGGGAACGGCAUUGGAAACUGCGGGGCUUGAGUGACGGAGGGGAAGCCGGAAUUCCUGGUGUAGGGGUGAAAUCUGUAGAUAUCAGGAAGAACACCGAUGGCGAAGGCAGGCUUCCAGCCGAUGACUGACGCUGAGGCGCGAAAGUGCGGGGAGCAAACAGGAUUAGAUACCCUGGUAGUCCGCACUGUAAACGAUGCACACUAGGCGUCGGGGCGAGCGUCCCGGUGCCGAAGCGAACGCGGUAAGUGUGCCGCCUGGGGGAGUAUGCCCGCAAGGGUGAAACUCAAAGGAAUUGACGG